GAUGAAGAACGCAGCGAAAUGCGAAAAGUAAUGUGAAUUGCAGAAUUCAGUGAAUCAUCGAAUCUUUGAACGCACAUUGCGCCCGCUGGUACUCCGGCGGGCACGCCUGUCCGAGCGUCAUUUCAACCCUCAAGCCCUCCUUCGGGAUGGGCCUGGUGUUGGGGCUCGGCCGCCAUCUCCGGCGGCCGUCCCCUAAAUACAGUGGCGGUCACGUCGCGACUCCUUUGCGUAGUAGAAACACCUCGCUCCGGAUAGCAACGCGGUCCACGCCGUAAAAUCCCAAUUUUCAAUGGUUGACCUCGGAUCAGGUGGGAAUACCCGCUGAACUUAAGCAUAUCAAUAAGCGGAGGA
Molecule: unclassified non-coding RNA, 351 nt
Filed under: soil metagenome
Description: partial contains 5.8S ribosomal RNA, internal transcribed spacer 2, and large subunit ribosomal RNA
Rfam family: 5.8S ribosomal RNA (bases 1-120)
Source: RNAcentral